RNAcentral lists this long non-coding RNA (1041 nucleotides) under Homo sapiens (human). Its description in RNAcentral is "non-protein coding lnc-INTS10-2:2". Lineage: Eukaryota; Metazoa; Chordata; Mammalia; Primates; Hominidae. The record is from RNAcentral.
GGAAAAUGUCAACAAUAAAGUCAUCACUGGUGGGACCUCAAGGCAGCAGAGUGGAAUCACAACUAGAUCCUGCAAUGUAACUAAUCAAAAUCUUAUGAAUUUUUUUUUACAAAGCAGAAAUUCCAUACGUUUUGACCCACGAAGGGGAGAGCUUCAGCACAUGAAACAGAUUCGUCUGGAGUAAUAGGAAGUAUGUCCAAAUGAGGGAGGAGGCAUCCAAAAGGACAAGACCUGCUAAGCACUCUGAGAGCAUCGUCUACACCUGCUGCUUCCAGAUCAUCAUCUCCCAGUUGUUCCCAGCAGCCCAGCAGUCUGACUUCCAUCCCUACCAUCCCAACAGAACUGCCCUCGCCAACCUCCUCCACAUGCACCAUGGUCCGAAGAUAAUGAACACUGCUCAGGACUCGCCUAACUGGGACAAAAUUGAUUCCUAUCUGGACGUGCAGCCAUGCAUGUCCACGUAAUUAUGGAUAACAGUGCAGUGUCACCUUAGCAACAAGUGAUCAGUCUUUCAUUUAGAAGCCACAGUUUGGCUAGGGUAAAUGUUAAUGAGAGGCUUCUAAUGGAGUAUGGCAGUUUUAAAACAUACCAAAAUCUUUGAUUCUCCUCUUAAUCCAUCUCCUAUUGCCCCGUCCUCUGCAAUCUGGGCCAAGGAGUACAGCACAGCAGUAGCGAUGCCAUGUGCCUUCCAAGACGAUGUCAUAAAAGACUGUAUUAUAGUUCUCCACCUGGUUCUCCUGGAACAAUCACUCUUAUAACCCAGCUACCAUGGUAUGACAAGGUCCAGGCAGCCCAUGGCGUGUUCUACAUGAAGAGGGCCAUUUGGAGAGGAACCAGGACCCCGGCCCUGGACCCCAACUGAGCUCUGGUCAACAGCCUUUUGAGCAGCCAUCUUGAAAGAGGAUUCUCCAGCCCCCUGAACGGUCCCAGCUGACACUGCAUGGAACCCAAACCUUCCAUGCCUAGCCAUGCCCAAGUUGCCUAUUUCCGAACUCAAUAACUGUUGUUUUGAGCCACUGUUUUGAAGAGGUUUGCUACACA